Molecule: ribosomal RNA, 253 nt
Filed under: uncultured bacterium
Lineage: Bacteria
Description: partial 16S ribosomal RNA
Rfam family: Bacterial small subunit ribosomal RNA
Source: RNAcentral
GACAGAGGGUGCAAUCGUUGUUCGGAAUUAUUGGGCGUAAAGCGCACGUAGGCGGCUUUGUAAGUUAGAGGUGAAAGCCCGGGGCUCAACUCCGGAAUUGCCUUUAAGACUGCAUCGCUAGAAUUGUGGAGAGGUAAGUGGAAUUCCGAGUGUAGAGGUGAAAUUCGUAGAUAUUCGGAAGAACACCAGUGGCGAAGGCGACUUACUGGACACAUAUUGACGCUGAGGUGCGAAGGCGAGGGGAGCAAACAGG